CGUCGACCAUUAAGCGGCGCAUGUUCGUGUUUCGGCCCCAGAAAGUGGACGGCACCGCGCGGGGCGGGGGGCGGCAGCGCCGCUUCCCGCCAUGGACGGCAUGGAGUUCUUCUUCGAGGAAUCUGCAGCAGGAUCUGGCUGGCUCUCGUUUGCCUGAGCAGGUUCGUGCCGCAGUUGGACAGCGGAGUUUGCUUAAGGGAUCUCGUUACCGGUGAGCAACUGACUGAAGGCGGGACAAGUGGAACAGAGGAUGCGGAGGAGGCUUUGAUUUCUUCUCUGCCGAUGGAUUAUGAAGGGGGCGAAGGAGCUGGUAUGGGGGGUGCGUGUCGUAUGAUCUUGGCAACGAAGGGAUGGGCGAUUCCUGCGAGAUAGGCGGUGCAAAUAUAGUCCCUGAUGCCGCGGACCAGGAUCCAGACGAAGAUGGCGUGGGAGUGUCAAGUGCAAACCAAUCUUCUUGGACCAGGAGAUCAAGCUCGCGCGAUGGAAAUUGCAAUAGGCGGUGUCAUGCCGCGGACUGCACAUCGGUGGUGCAAAUGGCACGUGCUGGAGAAGGCAAAAGAGAGCCUUGGGGCACUGCUUUGCAAAGGGAAGUGAAUUCAAGCCAGAAUUCAGCAAGCUAGUCCACCACAUAGUUAGUAUUGAUGAAUUUGAGAAGGGCUGGGCAUGCAUGAUUGAAAAAUAUGGCCUCCAGACCAAUGCAUUCCUAACCCAGCUUUACAAAGUGAGGGGGAAGUGGGUGAAGCCAUACUUCAUGGGUGUGUUCUGUGCAAAGAUGACAAGUACGCAGCGAAGCGAGAGCGCAAACCACCUUCUGAAAGGGUAUGUACCACCAGGCUGCCCCAUGCAUUUGUUCAACCGGCAAUAUGAGAAGAUGCAAUUUGACGGUAACUCAGAAGAAAGUUACCAGGAGAAAAGGACAAAACUAGGGGGAUUGUCCUGAGGCAAAAUAUCCCAGUCGAGGUACAUGCAUCGCAGGUUUACACCAGAACAAUGUUUGAGAAAUUUGGUGAAGCAUUGUACGUGUGUGGGUCGUAUGAUCUAGUAGAAGUCAAGCCCCAAUUGGAUUACAUUGCUAGGCACAUAAAAUUCCAGUCAAGGGAAAAGUGGUGCAAGAAUGAGUUUGUCAUCUCCGUGAGUGAGACAGCCGAUGAGUUCAGGUGCGAGUGUGGAACAUUUGAGCACUAUGGAAUGGUUUGCAGUCAUGCGCUUAAGGUCAUGAUGCACCUAAAACUGCAUGAGCUCCCUCCGAAACAUGUGCUCAAGCGAUGGACUAGAGAUGCAAGAGAUAUACUACUGCCGGAGUAUUUGCGCUACCAGAAGGACCAUGGGCCCCUGAAGUAUUCUUCUCAUCGACACAACACUUUACACUUGUUGGCAGUGGAUGUGGUUAAGUUAGGUGACAGCAAUGUGGAAGCAUAUGCACUUGCAAUGGAGAAAAUGCGAGAUGUCAAAGUGAUGCUCGAGCCAGUUGCCGCCGUGCGAGAUGGGCUUGGUUUGUCUGAUAGAGAGCUGGCUGCAGAUUCAGCCGGCUCUGGGGUGGGAACAAGUAGCACUUUGGGAGAACUGAAUCUAUGCACACCCUUUCACAAGGAUCAGGUGUGUUUCCAGCGCCGUCCAAGAAACGAUCGGUUGGGCGUCCAACAACUAGCCGCGACAAGGCUCCAUAUGAACAACCAUCGAAGAGGAGCAAAUUCUGUUCUAUAUGUAGAAUUCAUGGGCACAAGAGCACAACAUGCCCUGCCAGAGGGGAUGUGCCAAAGGCACCUAGGAAAUCUCCGCGCUGCUCAAAAUGUGGGUGACAGGCCACAGGAAUAACGCAUGUAGCAACCCGCCUAAAGUCUGAGAAAAUCUGAAUUUUAGUGUCUGUUCGGAGCCCCUCCGCUCCACAACUCUGCCACGGAGCGGAGCGGGCUGCAGUUCAAAAUUUCAGAGCGGGGGAAUUGGUGCUCCGCCAGAUUCGUGGAGCCGGUGGAUUACCAAACAGGCUCUUAGUGUUUGUUUUAGCGAUUGUAUGGAUUUGGCUGUGUGGCACUUUGUUAUUAGAACCCGUAUGUUAUUUGUGUAAAACAUCAAGAGAACGGUCAGCUGCAACA
Molecule: long non-coding RNA, 2093 nt
Organism: Triticum aestivum (bread wheat)
Lineage: Eukaryota; Viridiplantae; Streptophyta; Magnoliopsida; Poales; Poaceae
Exons: 5
Source: RefSeq, a predicted model, not a curated record